CUGAUUUCAUUUUCAGCCAGCAGGGGCACUAACUGUCAUUACAGGCAGUCCCCCUGCUGGCAAUGCAGCAGCCAGCUAACCCGGCCAUUUGAUUGUGAGGUCCUCGCAAGGACCUCACUCUCACAUGACCGUCUGGGGACCUUACAAAUACCCCCUAUGUAGACAUCGUUGUGUGACCAUCCACUAUAUGUAUCUAUCUAUCCUACAUCCCUGCUGGCUGGGAAAUUGACACGGUAGCUCCACCCAGUAUCUAGUAGAGUCAGCUGUAGGGGAAAUACUGAGACAAAGUAGUCACUGUCUCAGUAUACCUCCCAGGUGUGUCUCCCCAACCGCGAUCGCCGGCGUGGGAUCGCUGGCGACCAGGUAGGUAAGAAAAACCAAAGGGCGUAAUAUUACGCCCUGCGGCGUUUAGAGCUGCUUAGAAUAGUACGCCCUCCGGUUUUAAGGGGUUAAUUUAGUUUACCUCCUGCUCUGUUUCUAGCUUCAUAGACCUUACAGGAGACUCCUGUAUGUGAUUUAAUUACAAUUUACAGAGCAGGAGAUAUUUAAAAAAAAAUAAAAAGAAAUUCUAAAGAAAGUUAACAUCUGAUUGAAA
This is a non-coding RNA of Pelobates cultripes (western spadefoot toad), 595 nucleotides long. The record is from the annotation of a GenBank genome assembly. NCBI's taxonomy places the organism in Eukaryota, Metazoa, Chordata, Amphibia, Anura, Pelobatidae.